Molecule: ribosomal RNA, 465 nt
Filed under: uncultured bacterium
Lineage: Bacteria
Description: partial 16S ribosomal RNA
Rfam family: Bacterial small subunit ribosomal RNA
Source: RNAcentral
GACGAACGCUGGCGGCGUGCUUAACACAUGCAAGUCGAACGGAAAGGCCCCUUUGGGGGUUCUCGAGUGGCGAACGGGUGCGUAACACGUGAGUAACCUGCCCUUGACUUCGGGAUAACUUCAGGAAACUGGGGCUAAUACCGGAUAGGAAUCCUUGCUGCAUGGUGGGGGUUGGAAAGCUUCGGCGGUUUUGGAUGGACUCGCGGCUUAUCCGCUUGUUGGUGGGGUAGUGGCUUACCAAGGCUUUGACGGGUAGCCGGCCUGAGAGGGCGACCGGCCACAUUGGGACUGAGAUACGGCCCAGACUCCUACGGGAGGCAGCAGUGGGGAAGAUUGCACAAUGGGCGGAAGCCUGAUGCAGCAACGCCGCGUGCGGGAUGACGGCCUUCGGGUUGUAAACCGCUUUCAGCAGGGGCGAAGCUUGUGGUGACGGUACCUGCAGAAGAAGCACCGGCUAACUACGUG